RNAcentral lists this long non-coding RNA (4366 nucleotides) under Strigops habroptila (Kakapo). RNAcentral describes it as "lncRNA (ENSSHBG00005007511.1)". Lineage: Eukaryota; Metazoa; Chordata; Aves; Psittaciformes; Psittacidae. The record is from RNAcentral.
AGAGCGCAGGCAGCGCGCAGGCAGAGCGCAGGCAGCGCGCGAAGCGCCAGGGCAGCAGCAGCAGCACCGCCGGGAGCCGCGCUCUGUUCUCCCCUCCCUGGUGAAUUCCAGCCUCAAGGACGGGGGAAUCGGGGGGACGAACGCGGAGCCAGUAAAGGCAGGAGAACCCGCGGCGUCUCUUUAGGUACCUGCUGCCUCACCAUGAAGCUCCUGACAGCAGCGCUGCUUCUGCUGUUCAUCGUGAUGUGCUUGGCCAGCGCAGAAGGCGUGAAGUGCAAGUGUUCAAGGAAAGGUCCUAAAAUAAGAUUCUCUAAUGUAAGGAAGCUGGAAAUAAAACCGAGGUACCCAUUCUGCGUGGAAGAGAUGAUUAUGUAAGUUUUCCUUCAUUUACUGCUUUCUCUUUCCCUGUCAGCUGAAUUGCUUUACCUUAUACUGCGUGUUCUUUCUUUGUUCUUUGUUUUCCUCAUGCCCUGGCAUGCUAAUUUCUAGGAAUAGUCAUUUGCUGAAUCAGAUGCAAUCAAUUAUGCAAUUCUGACCAAAAUCCCAGCAAUCAGUUUUUGAAACAAUAUUCUUUUUGCUCAAAGAAAUAUUUAUAGAACAGGAGGCACUAAAAGGAUAAUCCUUAGUUCAGCUGAAGAUAGUGACGAAUCCUACUCCGUGCUGCCUGAUGUAAACCCCAGAACUAUUUAUUCAAGUUUUCCUGGUCAUGCAGAAUAAAAGCAGAAACAGUUUGGGCCAUGGUGGUUUCUGCGAGGAAGAAGUUAUCCCAAGCAGAGGCAGAUUUUUGCCUGUGCUGUACCAGAGCCACCCUCUUGCAUUUGAUGGGAUUACCAAGCAUGUAAGAAAACAUUUUUCUCCCCAUCUCACUGCAAGCUGUGACCAUUGCUGCCUUGAGAUCCGAAAAGUGAUGUAGUGACCAACCGAACAGAGGCAGGCACGGGGAUUUCUGACAUCAGAUGGCUGGUUCAAAGGAAGGGUUUUUAGAUUUUAAAUAUGGGUAUUUUGUGGAUUUUGUUUCUGUCCAGUUAUGUAUAUAUCUUAAUAUUACCCCAACAAAGCACCAUCCAACAGGCACACGGGGCUGGAUAAGGACCGGAAGGGCACAUUAGCUAAGCAGAUCGCACUAAGCCCCUCUGGUACCUAAAAGGGGGAAAAAGGGUCCCUAAAGCAGCCACGGCCCCAGAGCUCCAAGGUGUGAUUUACUGCAGUGGUUUUGCUCCCCCGCUGAAUGUUUGCCAUCCACUUAAUCUUAGAAAGGUGCUUUAACAGCAGGAUCUGAGUCCUGUCCUGCCACGUACCACCUCCGGCACUCUGUAUUGCUCCCAGGGCUAAAUCCAACCUACCAAACUGGCACAGGCAAGAAGAUACCACAGGAGCCUGAUCCUGCCCAUGCAGAAAUGCCUCACCAGGCUUGGCAGAGGGUGUACGGAGGAGGAACAGAUAGCCAAGCUUCCUUAUGCUUCCUCCAGAUUUACAACAGCAUCGCUGUGAGCAGUGCUCAGCUCAGGGAACAUCAGAGCCACCUCUUUGAAGCCCAAAUGAGCUGGUGGUGACCAAACACUUGCAGAGCACUGCUGCCUAAAUCAGUUCCUCGCAGCUUUACUUUGACCUUUCAAUAGCAAAAGGAUGGUGUAGAGAGCACUAAUUCUUCACGUCCCGCUCCAGGCUUGUGCCCGAAAGCAGCUGGUGGCUGGGAAGUAUAAAAUAAAUCUCAUUAAUGCAAUAUUUCACUUCCAACCAGAAAGUCAGGAAAGCCGGAAUGCCGUGCCGAGCAGUUGCUUUCCCAGGUGGAUAGUUAUGCCAAUACCAAGCUAUGUUAUUCAAGCCUGGAGGGGUUUUGCUGCAGGGACAGAGCUGUCCCGUCGCUGCUGCUGCCUGCAGGGCAGGGAGGGUGAGCCCGCUGCUGUCACUGCCCUUACAGCUCCCCUAAUGCAGUCUGAAGUCAGCAUUGAAAACAAACUGAAACUAAUAUUCCAAGAACAAAUUGAUCCAGGAGUCUCUGGACAAGGCACAGAGGAGCUAAAUUCCUGCAACUGAGUUUUCGUUGCUGCAGUGAUCAUUUAAAAUGAGUUGUUGAAGCUGGGUCCCCUCCUGCCCUCGUCAGAAACUCUCAUAUCUUUGCAUAUAGCAGAAACAUGAUAUAAAUUAUGUUUGCAAAGUAGUAGGUGUGAGGGUGCAGUUUAGGAAGCCUAUGGAUGAGAUACAUGGGGGCACGAGGUGCUGGGGGUCACAGACUGACCCAGGGGUGCUCAUCACAGCUCUGAAGGCAUGGACAUACUCAGGAGGAUUUAGUCCCUUCUCCAUCCCUCUCAACCUCUGCUUGCAGGCCAUUGAGGCAACUCCUCACUUAGGGCAUCAGCUCCCACAGCUGCUUAGGCAUGUUCCCUCACAUCCACUGGACCAGCACUCCCAGGAGCAGGGCCAGGUCAGCUCAGGGUACCCAAAAAUGCAACCAUCCAUCCACAGCAUCAAAAACUAUGCAGGAACUACAGAGGACCAAGGGGCUGCCUUGGAAACACCUCCUCUGCUGUCCAGGCACCAGCAUCAAAGCAGAAAACCUACAUGUGAUGUCAAAGCAAUGCAUCUCAGCCUGAGAAAAGGCCCAGAUCACUUGAGAAGCAAAAUGUGCAUCAUCUUCUCCUCAGACCGCAGGCUCUAGUAAAUCCAGAAUUGUCCUUUAACUGCUUCUAGUGCCAAUGUAGAGCUUGCUGUAUUUCAGAGGUGCUCCUGCUCCUCUCCUCCUGCAAAUCGGCUUGUCCAUCGCUUUCUGGAAAUACCCUCUGUGGUCUGUCAGAAGAGAAACCCAAGCUGAGGUCUGGCGUCAGACAGUGCAACCCAGAACAUGGCUAGUGAAUGGAGAAACUUUGCACCGACCUCAAGUCCCUUAAAACUGGCAUACCAUGGAUUUCACUCCCACUGAAAGCUACAAGAAAAAUCACCUUCUCACACAUGUACUGAUCUCCAGAGGCUGAGAACAUCCUUAGAACAGAGAUAGUCCACAGAUUUUAGAAGUAAUCCUUCCCUUUCCGAUGCCUGCAGCCAGAGAGUCUCUUUGGAAUUCUUCCACUGCUUGCCUAUGCAUUGGGGAAAAAGCUACAUCCUCCCCAAAAACCAACCUGAAAAUUACACCUUAUCUGUUCGUGACUUUAGCUUACACCCAAUAGAGGUAGAGCAGAAAAGGGAGUAGGCAGGAAGGGUAACUGAAUGGAAAGAACUAUCCGAACACCUUGUAUAACUUUGAAAUGGUGGCGAGACCUUUAAGUGAGCUCAUGCAGGCAACAAAAAAAGCUGGUCUGGGGCACACAGGCACUCUGCUAUGUGCAAGUGUUUAAAAUACUGUGGACUUAAAAAAAAAAAGAGAAAUAAGCAAUCAAUGAAGCAGGUGUGAUCUUUUCUUUUGGAUGCCGUAUUGGUGAGCAUGAAGGAAUCUUAUCCUCAUGCAAAGACCAUGUGGUUGUCUGAAUGAGCCCUAAUUAAUUCAGCUAUUAAGUUUAAAGACAAUAUCUGACAGGCAGAGCAAACCCAUCGAUUAGAAACAGCAUGUAAGUCUUCCCGUGGAAGAACUAAGUAUAAUGGUGGACAAUAUUGCACUGCACUGAUUGAUGGUAGCUAAAUAUCUGCUCCGGUGUUAUUACAACGAACUGAAGUAUCUGCUAUAAAACAAAGAGCAUGUAAAUCACUGCCCACUUGGGUGAGAGCCCCCUGACUGAUUUGGGCAUUUGCCUGGAGUGGGAGCAGAGGGACAGCAUUCCCAUGUUCUUCCCUGUGAGGGUGCUGAGGCGCUGGCACAGGGUGCCCAGAGAAGCUGUGGCUGCCCCAUCCCUGGCAGUGUUCAAGGCCAGGUUGGACACAGGGGCUUGGAGCAGCCUGCUCUAGGGGAAGUCGUCCCUGCCCAUGACAGGGGUUGGAACUGAGUGAGCUUUAAAGUCUCUUCUAACCCAAACCAUUCCAUAAUUCUAUGACUCCAGUAACUGUGCUGUCUUGCAUUGCAGCGUGACUCUGUGGACACGGGUGAGGGGCGAGCAGCAGCACUGCUUAAACCCCAAACGCCAAAACACAGUGAGACUGCUCAAGUGGUACAGAGUAUGGAAAGAGAAAGGCAGGUAAGUACAGAUUUCCUGAAUGGGUGAGAGGAAAGUCUCGGGAACAACUUGGGCAAUCAGCAGCAUUCAGAGAGAGGCCAGGAAAAUGCACACCCUGCAAAUGCUCCAGCCAGCACGGAGGAUGUAUUUCAUUACCAAAAUUACAGUUAGAAAUUAACAUUCUUGAUGUUAUUUCUUUCCUGCCACAUGCUGCCUCACUUCUAUUUUAGGAUUAGGCUGUUCCAACUAUUAAAAGUAAUUAUUUUCUGUUAAACUAUUCAUCA